UAUGGUCUACAGGAAAUGAAGGCUCGGGCUGGCGGUUGGUUUGCGCUGCUCAUUUUCUAACCUAACAAAUAAUUUUUUAAAUAGUGUUUUUUUGGACCCCUUGUUUCACACCAAAAAAAUUAAGGGGUGUCCUGUAGACCAUAUUAUUUU
RNAcentral lists this non-coding RNA (150 nucleotides) under Cephus cinctus (wheat stem sawfly). The record is from RNAcentral. Lineage: Eukaryota; Metazoa; Arthropoda; Insecta; Hymenoptera; Cephidae.